Thamnophis elegans (Western terrestrial garter snake) is the source of this 537-nucleotide RNA transcript. It is a transcript of the gene named phospholipase A2 inhibitor and Ly6/PLAUR domain-containing protein-like, with no coding region annotated. The transcript has 3 exons. NCBI's taxonomy places the organism in Eukaryota, Metazoa, Chordata, Lepidosauria, Squamata, Natricidae. The record is from RefSeq and is a predicted model, not a curated record.
AAAGCCAGGGGAGCAAAUUUGACCCAGCUUAAGGAGAAAGCAACAUCUAAAUCAUACCUGUCUCCAAAGAGAUGCAAAGUUUCAAUGGAGCAGCAACCUUCAGGGGGUGAGAGGGUGAGGAAUAACAGCAUAACUGAGUUGGAAGGGACCUUGGAGAUCUUCUAGUCCAACCCCUGCUCAAGCAGCGCCACUCCGUGAUGAACUCAGGCCCAAUGGAUUGGUAUGUUCUGGAUCAUACACAAGACACGGAGAUUCUAUCCAGACGGCUCAGCAAAUUCUCUGUCUCGGCCAAGAGACCCAUUGUGUCAACCUUAAUUUUACCAUGAAUACAUUUGGAGCUAUUGAAGAAACGGGUAUGCUCCGAGGAUGUGCAACCCCAAACGUAUGUUCCUAUCCUGUUGGAGAGACAAGCAUGGCCAAUGGCCUUGUAACGUUCAACAUCAUGAAGGAGUGUAACACUAUUCCAUUAUCACUUGAUCGUGCUUUUCUCCUCAAGUAGUCAGAACAUAGCCUUCUCCCUUUGUCUUUCAGGGUUUA